GAUGGACGCUAGCGGCAGGCUUAACACAUGCAAGUCGAGGGGUAUUUAUCUUCGGAUAGAGAGACCGGCGCACGGGUGCGUAACGCGUAUGCAAUCUACCUUUUACAGAGGGAUAGCCCAGAGAAAUUUGGAUUAAUACCUCAUAGUAUAUAGACUCGGCAUCGAGAUUAUAUUAAAGUCACAACGGUAAAAGAUGAGCAUGCGUCCCAUUAGCUAGUUGGUAAGGUAACGGCUUACCAAGGCUACGAUGGGUAGGGGUCCUGAGAGGGAGAUCCCCCACACUGGUACUGAGACACGGACCAGACUCCUACGGGAGGCAGCAGUGAGGAAUAUUGGACAAUGGGCGCAAGCCUGAUCCAGCCAUGCCGCGUGCAGGAUGACGGUCCUAUGGAUUGUAAACUGCUUUUAUACGAGAAGAAACACUGCUACGUGUAGCAGCUUGACGGUAUCGUAAGAAUAAGGAUCGGCUAACUCCGUG
Molecule: ribosomal RNA, 478 nt
Filed under: uncultured bacterium
Lineage: Bacteria
Description: partial 16S ribosomal RNA
Rfam family: Bacterial small subunit ribosomal RNA
Source: RNAcentral